RNAcentral lists this ribosomal RNA (339 nucleotides) under Triticum aestivum (bread wheat). RNAcentral's name for it is "partial small subunit ribosomal RNA". Lineage: Eukaryota; Viridiplantae; Streptophyta; Magnoliopsida; Poales; Poaceae. The record is from RNAcentral.
AUGUUUUGCAUCUCUAAUGGCUGCUAUGGGAGCCUCCUUUUGAUAGUUCAGAUACGCCACAUGGUCAAAGUUUCAAUUACUGGCAUAUGCAAGAUUUCAUCAUUCUAUGUGAAUGUUGGUCAUAGUGGUAUGGCCACUACUACUGCAAUUGUGGAUGGAGAUGCUUGCUUUUAUUUGUGUGUACGAGUUAAGUUCAGUGAUGCCUUGUUUUGUUACUUCAAGAGUUUUUCAUUUCAUUGUUGGCUUGACCAGCUUUAUUCUGACAGUCCAUGCCAAUCUCAUCUAGAAGAUCCCUUUGUCUGGUCUUUUCCUGCAUGUUACAGAAUUAGUUACAAAUAA